GACAGGGUCCAGGUUUCCUACAGGGCUGGAUGGGGCUCGUCACACCACAGGAACUCUGCAGGACCUGGGGACAGCUUCCAGUUGGUCCCAGACCCUGGGAAGACCCAACCACGGUUAAGGCCGUGCUCUGGGAAACUUGGAUUGGUUUGAGAGGACUCAGGUCAGCAGGAACCCCUUCAAGUGUGAUUUCUCCCACCUCCCCACUUCCUGUUCAGAAGACCAUCUGAGGAAACCAGUGCUCUAUAAGGACAUGUGGAUGGUGGGGCUACUGACAAACCCCGAAGGGAGUGCAGCCUGGUGCCUCUUGUUCUACCAACAUUGUCUCUCUGGUGAGGUUGUGAGCUACGGACACGAGGCUGAGUUUUACAGACCGAGUUGGAGAGACACAUGGAUACAGGGGCUUUCAAAGGAAAAUCUUUCGGGGUCAAGGGCCCCGAAGAAAAUGAGUCCCCAUUCUGUAUCACGUUGCUAGC
RNAcentral lists this long non-coding RNA (473 nucleotides) under Fukomys damarensis (Damara mole-rat). RNAcentral's name for it is "lncRNA (ENSFDAG00000025478.1)". The record is from RNAcentral. Lineage: Eukaryota; Metazoa; Chordata; Mammalia; Rodentia; Bathyergidae.